CGCACGGAGGAGCACGCCGACGCCACCGCGCCACGCCGCUCGGCGACCGGCCUCCCGCAGCCCCGCGGCCCCCGCCUUCCCUCCCUCCGCGCCGGGAAGGCAAACUUUACCUCUGACCCCACCCUCGCCUGCUUUCCCUCGCCUGCCACUCGGCACGUGGAGGAAGAUAUGCUUCACGGUGACCGUGAAGGAAGCACACCUCCCUCCACCCCGACCCUUGAUGGACCCCGGGAGCCCGGCCUCCCGGUUGUGGAGGUUCUUGGAGGUGUUGCCAGGACAAUGGAUGUGCCCAUAUCGGAGAUCUACUGACAAGGAGCACGGUGGGAGGAUUGCUGGUUAUCUAGAGUCCUAUGCUUACCCGGCCAGGCUCCUCCCUUCUGCUCCGGGUUUCAUAUUUUGAGCAACACUGUUCCUGUGUUAGAAUGAGACAAGAUACCUGACCAACCCAUGAAGAUUUAAUAUUUGCACGUCUUUACCCCUGGGCUAACGAAGUAUAGGUGGGGCUACCAGACAAGGAGAAUUCCAGGAAGAGGAACCCAGAGGUGAGUCAUGAGAGAGACGCCAGGUAGCUGCCGAAAAAGCAAGAAGCUUGGGCAUCACUGGUAUGUGUGCACACCACGUAUAUGCCUGGUAUGUAACGAGGUCAGAAGAGGGCAUCGGAUCUCUGGAACUACAACUGUGGACGAUUGUGAGCCAUUAUGUGGGUGCUGGGACCCAAACCCAAGUCCUCUGCAAAAGCGGCAAGUUCUCUGAACCACUGGGCCACCUGUCCUGCUCCUCUUCAGUUUUAUUUAUACAAAAGAGACUAAAAAUUAGAGGAAUUCUGGCAGAGUGAGCCAAGAUUCAAUGAUCUCCUGUGGAAAGAAAAGAAAAAAAAGAAUAAUAAUUUUUCAGAUGGGUUAUCAGGAUAAAAGGGACUAUUGUUUUAAAUGUACAUGUGAGUGUCAUUUGAA
Mesocricetus auratus (golden hamster) is the source of this 953-nucleotide long non-coding RNA. RefSeq lists it as uncharacterized. Lineage: Eukaryota; Metazoa; Chordata; Mammalia; Rodentia; Cricetidae. The record is from RefSeq and is a predicted model, not a curated record. The transcript has 3 exons.